Myxocyprinus asiaticus (Chinese sucker) is the source of this 1957-nucleotide RNA transcript. It is a transcript of the gene named short coiled-coil protein b, with no coding region annotated. The transcript is spliced from 6 exons. The record is from RefSeq and is a predicted model, not a curated record. Lineage: Eukaryota; Metazoa; Chordata; Actinopteri; Cypriniformes; Catostomidae.
ACAUUAAAAUAGAUAAGAGCUGCACUGGCAUGUUUGCAUAGAAAAAUAGCUGCCCGAGAGCGUUCCAAAAAUGGCCGCCGAGUGGACUGACUUGCUAAAAACCUUUUGGUUUAAUUUAUAAUCCAUGACGUCAAACUGUAGAAGACAUCUCUUCGGCCGGCUUUGUACUCAUCCUGAAGUGUGUCCACUCGAGUCAGCCCUGCAUUUCAAACAAGAACACGAGGAUUUCACCAUGAACCCCGACAUGGAUGGUGACAUGGAAAAUCAAGUGGAAUUAGAGGAGAAGACCAGACUUAUUAACCAAGUCCUUGAGCUGCAGAAUACUCUUGAGGACCUUUCGGCUCGAGUGGAUGCAGUAAAAGAAGAAAAUCUAAAGUUAAAAUCAGAGAAUCAGGUUCUUGGGCAGUAUAUUGAGAACCUCAUGUCAGCAUCUAGUGUCUUUCAGACCACUGACUCCAAGAGCAAACGGAAGUAAGAGAGCAUCCCUCUGUCCCAAACCCCCUUCUGUAGACCCACAACCCCACGCAGUCAAACCCUUGCCAUAUCAGCUAAGUUCAAGUUUCCACUGGGAUUCAUUUGAUCCCUAUGCCACUAAAAUGGGUUACCAAAGGUGUGCGGAAGGACAAAUGAGACAGGCUAGUUUCUAAAUGUGCAUUGAAUAUGAAGUAAAAUUCCUGAAACAAUUACCUACGGCGAGCCCAGCUUAAAAUUCACAAUCGUGCCAUAAAUCGAGUAUAUGCUCUGCCAGGGGAUUGUGAUGUUGUAGAUUUCUAAUGUUUUGGAAGUAUUUUUGCUAUAGGCAUAGACCAGUGUACCUCUGCUGGUUAAAACAAUGCUAAACAAAUUCAUGAAUUAAUGCUAAAUACAAAUAAUAAAAUGUAACAACCAUGUCUUUUGUUGACAAUGGCAAAGGCCGUAUAUCCAAUCAAACGCUUUGGUAUUUUGGCACAAAUUCUCUUUGUCACUUUGUAAAUUGCCUACAACUAAUGCAAUGUUUUGCCCAGUGUUCAUGCAUCAGCCUGGUUAAAUUACACUCCUGCUGUUUAUGCAUUUUAAAAAUUGUCCAUUUUCCUAUUCACCCUGUUAGGUCAUUAAUUUUGCAUCUGCUGGCUCUGUGCAGUUCAUGAUUAUAUUAAUACAGUUAAAGGGGUCAUAACAUGCAUUUUUAUUAUUAUUUCAUUGUAUUCCUUGAGGGUCACAUAAGAUUAGGUGGUCUCGGACCGAUUGUUUUGGUGUGCAUUCGAGUGCGAUUGCCAUGUUCAUCUGAACUGAACCAUGGGAGAAAACGGACCAGGUUCUGAAACAAAUGCUCCAAACGAUCCAGGUGUGAAAACACCCUUAGGAAGCGAUUCAUGGAAUAACUUUACCUUGUGAAAGUGUGUGACUGUGUAUUUAUCACCUCAAGGCUUGCCGAAGAACACGUAUGUCCAUAUGCAGCUUUUACUGAAUGAAGAAAUAACGUUGAAUAAAAACAGACUGUUGUGGCUCCGUUUUCUGAUGUCAUGUUAGUGCAGGAAAAACGCUUGGUGACAGAAUCACUUUGGAUUACAAUCAGUAUGCGAUGAUAUGCAGCUGAGAGCAAUGAACAUUUUCAGAUCAGCUUGACGUCUUGUCAGUUCUUCAGUAAAAGAAGCUCAUUGGUCACUUGACGAGAACACAAGACCCCCCAGAGCUGGAUUUGUUUUGUUUUUUUGUUUUUAUCAGUUUCUGAAGCCAUUAACUCAGCAGGGAGCCCUGACAGUCAAGUGAUUAACAAUCUCCCACUGGCAGACCCUAAUGCACGCUUUGUCUCCCUAUGCCUGGCCGACGAUUAUGUUAAUGAAGCUUACAUCUGAAAAUCACUGGAAAAUCGGCUAGUGUGGUGCCGGCUUUAGUCUGUCUCAGAUAGAUUGACAACUUGAUUUCAAAAUGGAUUGCUUAUGUUUAAUGAUACGAAAAUAAACAAAACUAAAACUGA